CAGCCGCCACGGUAAUACGUAGGGCGCAAGCGUUGUCCGGAAUUAUUGGGCGUAAAGAGCUCGUAGGCGGUCUGUCGCGUCUGGUGUGAAAUCCCGAGGCUCAACCUCGGGCUUGCAUCGGGUACGGGCAGACUAGAGUGCGGUAGGGGAGACUGGAAUUCCUGGUGUAGCGGUGGAAUGCGCAGAUAUCAGGAGGAACACCGAUGGCGAAGGCAGGUCUCUGGGCCGCAACUGACGCUGAGGAGCGAAAGCAUGGGGAGCGAACAGGAUUAGAUACCCCCGUAGUCCCUGUCUCUUAUAC
RNAcentral lists this ribosomal RNA (301 nucleotides) under uncultured bacterium. RNAcentral describes it as "partial 16S ribosomal RNA". It matches the Rfam family "Bacterial small subunit ribosomal RNA", at positions 509 to 807 of the family's 1533-position model. The record is from RNAcentral.